GGUUAACUAAUGCUGCUCAUGGGGCUAGAAGAUCAACAUUCAUCCCUGGCACAACUCUUUAGGAAUUGUGCCAGGAACCAGUAGCUGAACUUCUCCCUAAGAGCAGAGGACAGCACUACUAAAUGCCUGGAGUCUUAAAUGGUUGCUCGUUUGUCAAGGUGACACUUGUGGUCUUGCUGAAGCACGAGCUGAGAGACAUCUCUGUUACCCAAAGAAAUGUGUAACCAAUGGAGCUUGAGCACUUACGUUGUUGUUACAAUAGCAAAUGUUAUCUACAUAAUUACAAAGUUAUGUUCUGAUAGGGAUUCUUAUUUAAGCCUGUUACAUGCUCCAGCAAAGCAGAAAAUCCCUUACUGAGUACCGUUAAUAAUGGAGCAUUAAGAAUACACUGUUUUCUUUCCUUGCUUUAUAUACACCUAUUUAUUUUUCAAAUGACUGUAUUUUGGUACUUUCUAGGAUUUCUCUCCUGGGUGCUGGAAAGGUCUUUCCCCUGGACCUGACGACAAGAGGCAAUGUCACUGCGAAUGUUUCUGCUUCUCAGAUUCAUCAGAUGUCUGGAGAGAAACAAAGUUCCUGCCUCCUUUUUAUUGAGGAAAAGUAUUUCUAAAAGUGCUCUGCUCAGGCCUGGUGCGUCGGAUUCCAGCCUUCCUCGUGCUUGCACAAAUACUUCGCUGACUUCACCAUGGUUCUUGACCAUAUGCCAUAAUCUACUCGGGCUGCACCAUGUGGCUGAGUUCAAGCUUGCUUCAGGAUCUUUGGCUUCUGCUUUCCUGACAAAGCCUGCUGGAUUUCAGGACCUCAGAGCAGCAUUCUUCAGGCUGUGGGAAACAUGGUGCUCUGGAUCAACCCAGGAUGGAUGGGAAGCACUCUUUCAUCAGCAAAUGAAAUUUUCUGUAGAAAUCGAAAACGUAUGCCUACUAUAUAGAAAGUAGGCUGAAGACUUCAAAGGAAGAGCUUCCUCUUCAGAGAGAGCAUUCAUAUGCAAUAGCUUUUGAACAUGUAACCUCUUCUUUCUCAGAGUACAAAAACAAGUGGCUUCCGUAAGGUUUAUGUUGGUAUGGAUUUCAGCUGUGCAAACUAUAUGGCAACCAGUACAAACUGGGCUCAUAAAGAUUUGGGAAAAAAAAUAGAAAAAGGCUUCAAACAAGCCAAUAUUCAAUGAUUGGAACUAGUUCAAAAAAAAACCCUAGGCCUUACUUGAUAUAAAAGGCUUGGACCUCUCAAAAUAAACAGCCAAUUAAGUCAGAUUCUGAACA
Molecule: long non-coding RNA, 1256 nt
Filed under: Anser cygnoides (Swan goose)
Lineage: Eukaryota; Metazoa; Chordata; Aves; Anseriformes; Anatidae
Description: lncRNA (ENSACDG00005001150.1)
Source: RNAcentral